This 241-nucleotide unclassified non-coding RNA is filed under the name uncultured fungus. RNAcentral's name for it is "partial contains 5.8S ribosomal RNA, internal transcribed spacer 2, and large subunit ribosomal RNA". The record is from RNAcentral. RNAcentral also lists the same sequence under 1 other name. Lineage: Eukaryota; Fungi.
AACGCACAUUGCGCCCUUUGGCAUUCCGAAGGGCAUGCCUGUUCGAGCGUCAUUACACCACUCAAGCCUGGCUUGGUAUUGGGCGACGGGUAACCAGUCCCCCGCCUCAAUUUCGACCGGCUGGACAAUCUCUAUCUCAGCGUUGUGGAAACUAAUUCGCUGGCGAGACGGGUGGUUCAUGCCGUUAAAGUCACUAUCUAAGGUUGACCUCGGAUCAGGUAGGAAUACCCGCUGAACUUAA